This 468-nucleotide ribosomal RNA is filed under the name uncultured bacterium. RNAcentral's name for it is "partial 16S ribosomal RNA". It matches the Rfam family "Bacterial small subunit ribosomal RNA", at positions 28 to 507 of the family's 1533-position model. The record is from RNAcentral.
GACGAACGCUGGCGGCGUGCUUAACACAUGCAAGUCGAACGGAAAGGCCCUGCUUUUGUGGGGUGCUCGAGUGGCGAACGGGUGAGUAACACGUGAGUAACCUGCCCUUGACUUUGGGAUAACUUCAGGAAACUGGGGCUAAUACCGGAUAGGAGCUCCUGCUGCAUGGUGGGGGUUGGAAAGUUUCGGCGGUUGGGGAUGGACUCGCGGCUUAUCAGCUUGCUGGUGGGGUAGUGGCUUACCAAGGCUUUGACGGGUAGCCGGCCUGAGAGGGUGACCGGCGACAUUGGGACUGAGAUACGGCCCAGACUCCUACGGGAGGCAACAGUGGGGAAUAUUGCACAAUGGGCGGAAGCCUGAUGCAGCAGCGCCGCGUGCGGGAUGACGGCCUUCGGGUUGUAAACCGCUUUCGCCUGUGACGAAGCGUGAGUGACGGUAAUGGGUAAAGAAGCACCGGCUAACUACGUG